CCAACGCCGUCCUCCCCUGCGGCCCCCAAGCCUAACACCGUCCUCCCCUGCGGCCCCCUCGCCUAACGCCGUCCUCCCCUGCGGCCCCCUAGCCUAACGCCGUCCUCCCCUGCGGCCCCCCAGCCCAACACCGUCCUCCCCUGCGGCCCCCCUAGCCCAACGCCGCCCUCCCCUGCGGCCCCCCUAGCCCAACGCCGCCCUCCCCUGCGGCCCCCUAGCCUAACGCCGUCCUCCCCUGCGGCCCCCCAGCCCAACGCCGUCCUCCCCUGCGGGCCGCCUAGCCCAACGCCGUCC
This 294-nucleotide long non-coding RNA is filed under the name Volvox carteri. Its description in RNAcentral is "long non-coding RNA (VCAR_LNC000507)". The record is from RNAcentral. Lineage: Eukaryota; Viridiplantae; Chlorophyta; Chlorophyceae; Chlamydomonadales; Volvocaceae.